Small nuclear RNA from Pongo abelii (Sumatran orangutan), 103 nucleotides. NCBI's taxonomy places the organism in Eukaryota, Metazoa, Chordata, Mammalia, Primates, Hominidae. The record is from Ensembl.
GCUUGCUGUGACAGUGCAUAUACUAAAAUUGGAAUGAUAUAGAGAUUAGCAUAACUCCUGCAUAAGGAUGAUAAUGCAAAUUUAUGAAGCUUCUUAAGUGUAA